GACAGAGGGUGCAAGCGUUAUCCGGAUUUAUUGGGCGUAAAGCGUCUGUAGGUGGUUUUUUAAGUCUGUGGUUAAAUAGUUCAGCUCAACUGGAUUCUGCCAUGGAUACUGAAAAACUAGAGUGUGUAAGAGGUUAGUGGAAUUUCUAGUGUAGCGGUGAAAUGCGUAGAUAUUAGAAGGAACUCCAGAGGCGAAGGCGACUAACUGGUGCACAACUGACACUGAGAGACGAAAGUGUGGGGAGCAAAAAGG
Molecule: ribosomal RNA, 252 nt
Filed under: uncultured bacterium
Lineage: Bacteria
Description: partial 16S ribosomal RNA
Rfam family: Bacterial small subunit ribosomal RNA
Source: RNAcentral